This 234-nucleotide long non-coding RNA is filed under the name Gallus gallus (chicken). The record is from RNAcentral. Lineage: Eukaryota; Metazoa; Chordata; Aves; Galliformes; Phasianidae.
GUGGAGGACCCCAAUAUUGAACUCCUCCCUCUCUCCCAGGUAGUCUCCAAUGGCGGUCUUGUUGAGCCCCUCCCCCUUAUAGAGGAAGCGUGCGAUGUCCUCAGCCGUGUGCCGCAGCAGCUCAUUGUCCACCAGGAAUUGGAUGCCCUUUUUGGGGUCCAUGUUGAAUUUCUUGCGGCCCAUCCCCAUCUUGCGGUUGCGUUGGAGGGUUUUGCUGCCCUCGCUGGCCUCCAA